GCUCCUGUAGUUCAAUGGAUAGAAUAGGCCCGUCCUAAGGGUUAGAUGCUGGUUCGAUUCCGGCCAGGAGUA
Molecule: transfer RNA, 72 nt
Filed under: SR1 bacterium human oral taxon HOT-345
Lineage: Bacteria; Candidatus Absconditibacteriota
Also listed under: 6 other names
Rfam family: tRNA
About the family: Transfer RNA (tRNA) molecules are approximately 80 nucleotides in length. Their secondary structure includes four short double-helical elements and three loops (D, anti-codon, and T loops). Further hydrogen bonds mediate the characteristic L-shaped molecular structure. tRNAs have two regions of fundamental functional importance: the anti-codon, which is responsible for specific mRNA codon recognition, and the 3' end, to which the tRNAs corresponding amino acid is attached (by aminoacyl-tRNA synthetases). tRNAs cope with the degeneracy of the genetic code in two manners: having more than one tRNA (with a specific anti-codon) for a particular amino acid; and 'wobble' base-pairing, i.e. permitting non-standard base-pairing at the 3rd anti-codon position.
Source: Rfam by way of RNAcentral